AUUACAGAGGAACAUUUUGGAGCACGCAAAUGAUCUCAGGGCUGCAUUUAGCUGCUGUCGCCAUCCAGGGUGUGCUUGUCAAACAGGUACUCCGCCAUCCUGUUGUUGCCAGCAUCCAUCUUGGAAAGGUUGGUGAUGUGGUCACCAAGCUUCUUGAUGGCCUCAACCUGCUCAUUCAGGUAGUGAGUCUCCAGGAAGUCACA
Molecule: long non-coding RNA, 203 nt
Organism: Labeo rohita (rohu)
Lineage: Eukaryota; Metazoa; Chordata; Actinopteri; Cypriniformes; Cyprinidae
Exons: 2
Source: RefSeq, a predicted model, not a curated record